This 423-nucleotide ribosomal RNA is filed under the name uncultured bacterium. RNAcentral's name for it is "partial 16S ribosomal RNA". It matches the Rfam family "Bacterial small subunit ribosomal RNA", at positions 361 to 776 of the family's 1533-position model. The record is from RNAcentral.
AUUUUGUGCAAUGGGGGAAACCCUGAUCUAGCCAUCCCGCGUGUAUGAUGAAGGCCUNNNGGUUGNACAGUACUUUUGGCUGGNAAGNAAAGGUAUCCCCUAAUACGGGAUACUGCUGACGGUAUCUGCAGAAUAAGCACCGGCUAACCACGUUCCAGCACCCGCGGUAAUACGUAGGGUGCAAGCGUUAAUCGGAAUUACUGGGCGUAAAGCGUGUGUAGGCGGUUCGGAAAGAAAGAUGUGAAAUCCCAGGGCUCAACCUUGGAACUGCAUUUUUAACUGCCGAGCUAGAGUAUGUCAGAGGGGGGUAGAAUUCCACGUGUAGCAGUGAAAUGCGUAGAUAUGUGGAGGAAUACCGAUGGCGAAGGCAGCCCCCUGGGAUAAUACUGACGCUCAGACACGAAAGCGUGGGGAGCAAACAGG